CGCUCCCGGGGUGGGGGUGUGGCUUUCAGGUUCGUCCCGACUCGCCUUGUCACCACACGAUGCAGGAGGCAUUUUUCAAACUCAAGCUUCUGUCUGUACCAGCAGGUGUUUCCAUCACGUGCCAGACCCUGAUGUCACUCAUAUGUCAGCCUGUCACUGCAAAAUUUGAGUUCCUCGUUUGUAAACUCUAUCAGAAACGUGUUUCUGUGAGGGGCUGUGAGAGGCUGUGUGCUUGAAGUCCGUUUCACCUUUCCACACACCGUCCAUCCCCCUGGUUUCUUACAAGAAUGAUCAGAUUUGCUAAUAAGAGAAGAUUCAAGUGGAACUUACAAUUUUUCCUCUUUGUGUGUACAUUGAUUCAUCCUACAGCCAACCGGACCGCCUCCAUUUUGUUCCGUGUCCUCCAUCUUGAGCGAGAAGUCUCCCGCUCAAGCCACGCCCACUCCCGCAGAAAC
Long non-coding RNA from Manis pentadactyla (Chinese pangolin), 455 nucleotides. RefSeq lists it as uncharacterized. NCBI's taxonomy places the organism in Eukaryota, Metazoa, Chordata, Mammalia, Pholidota, Manidae. The record is from RefSeq and is a predicted model, not a curated record. The transcript is spliced from 3 exons.